Molecule: ribosomal RNA, 468 nt
Filed under: uncultured bacterium
Lineage: Bacteria
Description: partial 16S ribosomal RNA
Rfam family: Bacterial small subunit ribosomal RNA
Source: RNAcentral
GACGAACGCUGGCGGCGUGCUUAACACAUGCAAGUCGAACGGAAAGGCCCUGCUUUUGUGGGGUGCUCGAGUGGCGAACGGGUGAGUAACACGUGAGUAACCUGCCCUUGACUUUGGGAUAACUUCAGGAAACUGGGGCUAAUACCGGAUAGGAGCUCCUGCUGCAUGGUGGGGGUUGGAAAGUUUCGGCGGUUGGGGAUGGACUCGCGGCUUAUCAGCUUGUUGGUGGGGUAGUGGCUUACCAAGGCUUCGACGGAUAGCCGGCCUGAGAGGGUGACCGGGCAAAUGGGGACUGGGAUACGGCCCAGACUCCUACGGGGGGCAGCAGGGGGGAAUAUUGCAAAAUGGGGCGAAGGCAGAUGCAGCAACGCCGGGUGCGGGAAAAAGGCCUUCGAGUUAUAAACAGAUUUCGCCGGUGACGAAGCGUGAGUGACGGUAAUGGAUAAAGAAGCACCGGCUAACUACGUG